RNAcentral lists this ribosomal RNA (445 nucleotides) under uncultured bacterium. RNAcentral's name for it is "bacterial SSU rRNA". It matches the Rfam family "Bacterial small subunit ribosomal RNA", at positions 354 to 796 of the family's 1533-position model. The record is from RNAcentral.
GUAAGGAAUAUUGGACAAUGGCGGCAACGCUGAUCCAGCUAUCCCGCGUGCAGGAUGAAGGGGCUACGCCUUGUAAACUGCUUUGGACUGAGACGAAAAAAUGGGAUUCUUCCCAUAUUGACGGUAUCAGUAGAACAAGCACCGGCUAACUCCGUGCCAGCAGCCGCGGUAAUACGGAGGGUGCAAGCGUUAUCCGGAAUCACUGGGUGUAAAGGGUGCGUAGGCGGCCUGUUAAGUCAGGAGUGAAAGGCCACAGCUUAACUGUGGGAUUGCUUUUGAUACUGGCGGGCUUGGAUUAGGACGAGGUUGGCGGAAUGUGGCAAGUAGCGGUGAAAUGCAUAGAUAUGCCAUAGAAUACCGAUUGCGAAGGCAGCUGACUAGACCUAUAUUGACGCUGAGGCACGAAAGCGUGGGGAGCGAACAGGAUUAGAAACCCCAGUAGUCC